AUACGGAGGGUGCAAGCGUUAAUCGGAAUUACUGGGCGUAAAGCGUACGUAGGCGGCAAGUUAAGUUAGAUGUGAAAGCCCCGGGCUCAACCUGGGAACUGCAUUUAAAACUGGCUUGUUAGAGUUGAGUAGAGGGGAGUGGAAUUUCAGGUGUAGCGGUGAAAUGCGUAGAGAUCUGAAGGAACACCAGUGGCGAAGGCGACUCCCUGGACUCGAACUGACGCUGAGGUACGAAAGCGUGGGUAGCAAACGGGAUUAGAAACCCCAGUAGUCC
Molecule: ribosomal RNA, 274 nt
Filed under: uncultured bacterium
Lineage: Bacteria
Description: partial 16S ribosomal RNA
Rfam family: Bacterial small subunit ribosomal RNA
Source: RNAcentral